RNAcentral lists this ribosomal RNA (891 nucleotides) under Staphylococcus aureus. RNAcentral describes it as "partial 23S ribosomal RNA". It matches the Rfam family "Bacterial large subunit ribosomal RNA", at positions 614 to 1508 of the family's 2925-position model. The record is from RNAcentral. Lineage: Bacteria; Bacillati; Bacillota; Bacilli; Caryophanales; Staphylococcaceae.
AAUGAACCGGCGAGUUACGAUUUGAUGCAAGGUUAAGCAGUAAAUGUGGAGCCGUAGCGAAAGCGAGUCUGAAUAGGGCGUUUAGUAUUUGGUCGUAGACCCGAAACCAGGUGAUCUACCCUUGGUCAGGUUGAAGUUCAGGUAACACUGAAUGGAGGACCGAACCGACUUACGUUGAAAAGUGAGCGGAUGAACUGAGGGUAGCGGAGAAAUUCCAAUCGAACCUGGAGAUAGCUGGUUCUCUCCGAAAUAGCUUUAGGGCUAGCCUCAAGUGAUGAUUAUUGGAGGUAGAGCACUGUUUGGACGAGGGGCCCCUCUCGGGUUACCGAAUUCAGACAAACUCCGAAUGCCAAUUAAUUUAACUUGGGAGUCAGAACAUGGGUGAUAAGGUCCGUGUUCGAAAGGGAAACAGCCCAGACCACCAGCUAAGGUCCCAAAAUAUAUGUUAAGUGGAAAAGGAUGUGGCGUUGCCCAGACAACUAGGAUGUUGGCUUAGAAGCAGCCAUCAUUUAAAGAGUGCGUAAUAGCUCACUAGUCGAGUGACACUGCGCCGAAAAUGUACCGGGGCUAAACAUAUUACCGAAGCUGUGGAUUGUCCUUUGGACAAUGGUAGGAGAGCGUUCUAAGGGCGUUGAAGCAUGAUCGUAAGGACAUGUGGAGCGCUUAGAAGUGAGAAUGCCGGUGUGAGUAGCGAAAGACGGGUGAGAAUCCCGUCCACCGAUUGACUAAGGUUUCCAGAGGAAGGCUCGUCCGCUCUGGGUUAGUCGGGUCCUAAGCUGAGGCCGACAGGCGUAGGCGAUGGAUAACAGGUUGAUAUUCCUGUACCACCUAUAAUCGUUUUAAUCGAUGGGGGGACGCAGUAGGAUAGGCGAAGCGUGCGAUUGGAUUGCA